CUAGUGUUGUCUUAUGUCUCUCUGUCUAGUGUUGUCUUAUGUCUCUCUGUCUAGUGUUGUCUUAGGUCUCUGUCUAGUGUUGUCUUAUGUCUCUCUGUCUAGUGUUGUCUUAGGUCUCUGUCUAGUGUUGUCUUAGGUCUCUGUCUAGUGUUGUCUUAGGUCUCUGUCUAGUGUUGUCUUAGGUCUCUCUGUCUAGUGUUGUCUUAGGUCUCUCUGUCUGUCUAGUGUUGUCUUAGGUCUCUAUGUCUAGUGUUGUCUUAGGUCUCUAUGUCUAGUGUUGUCUUAGGUCUCUCUGUCUAGUGUUGUCUUAGGUCUCUCUGUCUAGUGUUGUCUUAGGUCUCUCUGUCUAGUGUUGUCUUAGGUCUCUGUCUAGUGUUGUCUUAGGUCUCUGUCUAGUGUUGUCUUAGGUCUCUCUGUCUAGUGUUGUCUUAGGUCUCUCUGUCUAGUGUUGUCUUAGGUCUCUCUGUCUAGUGUUGUCUUAGGUCUCUCUGUCUAGUGUUGUCUUAGGUCUCUGUCUAGUGUUGUCUUAGGUCUCUGUCUAGUGUUGUCUUAGGUCUCUCUCUAUGUCUAGUGUUGUCUUAGGUCUCUCUCUAUGUCUAGUGUUGUCUUAGGUCUCUCUCUCUGUCUAGUGUUGUCUUAGGUCUCUCUCUCUGUCUAGUGUUGUCUUAGGUCUCUCUCUCUGUCUAGUGUUGUCUUAGGUCUCUCUGUCUGUCUAGUGUUGUCUUAGGUCUCUCUGUCUGUCUAGUGUUGUCUUAGGUCUCUCUGUCUGUCUAGUGUUGUCUUAGGUCUCUCUGUCUGUCUAGUGUUGUCUUAGGUCUCUCUGUCUGUCUAGUGUUGUCUUAGGUCUCUCUGUCUGUCUAGUGUUGUCUUAAG
This is a long non-coding RNA of Oncorhynchus keta (chum salmon), 873 nucleotides long. RefSeq lists it as uncharacterized. Lineage: Eukaryota; Metazoa; Chordata; Actinopteri; Salmoniformes; Salmonidae. The transcript is spliced from 3 exons. The record is from RefSeq and is a predicted model, not a curated record.